GCCAGGGAAAAUUUUUGCAGAUAUUUUUUCCUUCACAUUCAACCACCACAAUGCUCAUUUUAUCAUUUGGUUGGCAGAUUAUUGAAAGGUGGGCAACUUGCAUGGAGAAACAACCUGCUAUAGAUGGUCAAAUCGAUUAGUUAUCUCUUGCAAAGAAAGAGACAAUUCAAUGUUGAUUUGAUGCUUCAGAGAGGUUACAUGAGAAGUUUCUUUAGAAGGAAUGAAUGUAUCACCUCGUGGCUUGUAUGUUUGUUUUGUCUGCUGAGUAGUGUUGUACUUGUACAGUAACCAUAAUUCAUUGGACAAUCCUUGUCAAAUAAAUUUCUGGUGACAAUAGAAUUACAGAUUCUGCAAAUUUAUGCCAAGUAUUUCUCUCUCUUUACCCAAUUGUCUCCAUACAAAAAAGGGUUUGGGAGAGAUUUUCUGUCUUGGGCGCGCCUUUUGACAACACUACUGAUAAAUAUAAAUGAAUACAUGGGGGGUUAAAUUUGAGGUUUCCCUAUCUGAAAUUGUAUUCAUGUGCCAUCUCAACAAGAUGCAUCAGUCUGGGAUUAAAGACUAGGAUUGAAAU
Molecule: long non-coding RNA, 571 nt
Organism: Populus euphratica (Euphrates poplar)
Lineage: Eukaryota; Viridiplantae; Streptophyta; Magnoliopsida; Malpighiales; Salicaceae
Exons: 2
Source: RefSeq, a predicted model, not a curated record